Wasmannia auropunctata (little fire ant) is the source of this 917-nucleotide long non-coding RNA. RefSeq lists it as uncharacterized. The record is from RefSeq and is a predicted model, not a curated record. Lineage: Eukaryota; Metazoa; Arthropoda; Insecta; Hymenoptera; Formicidae. The transcript has 2 exons.
UUAAAAAUUAACUCUUUAAAAGGGCCAGACACGUCGUCCCCUUUGGCUCGAAAAUCGUUUCGUCGUUUCAAGUUUUCUCUGGACUGUGAAAAAAUUGUCUUCCUCUCUUAGAGGCACAUCGCAAGAUAAAACACUGACGAUUCUCUAUCGACUGACCAGGACAACGACUGUUCUCGUUCACGACUGGUCAAAGGACGUGGAUUUACGAAGAUCUUGGAACGAUCUCUUUCCGAGAUUAAAAAACUUCACAAGCACGAUGAGACACACUGGACGCGCGAGACACUGUCUCCAAAAUUAAAAGGAAUUUCCGAGUCGUUCGAGGAUCAAUGAAAUCAAUGCCGUACCGUGUUCGUAUCUCUUUUCACGUCCAAAGGGUCAACACGAAUCGCCAAAGCGUCUUGCGGAUACACUAUGUAGGAUUCGCUAUGCGAAGGCCAAAAAAUCUCUUACUGAUCGUCGCCAGGCGUAUAAAUCGAUCCGCGAUAUCCGAUAUCAUGGACGCUGAAGAUUCGGGCAGAACGAAUAUUUGUUGGUCAGAUUGAAGCGAUUGUCAUCGUCAAGAUUUGCCUGCACGCGAGGGCUGCCCGUGUCGCGAAGGCCGGAUAAAAAGGCGGCAAACGCUUAAGAUCUUUGGUAAAAGCCCGCCUGACAUGAUCGGCGAUGAUCACGUACGCUCAAACAUAUUAUCGUCCGAAGGAGGCAAUAAUCGAGAAAAAUGAACACUGCUGGACCUCGAGUCCACCACGCUCUCGUCGUGAUACCCGUCGGGAUACGGGACGACGAGAGGGCCUUUUCGAUCGCCCUAGAAAGGGAGGGCCGGAGACGCGGUUAAGCUAUCCAGAUAUCCUUAGGCGUCCGAUCGGAAAGUUUGCGCUAUGUAAUCACACGGUCCAUUAAAUAAUAACCACGCUACGAGA